RNAcentral lists this ribosomal RNA (301 nucleotides) under uncultured bacterium. RNAcentral describes it as "partial 16S ribosomal RNA". It matches the Rfam family "Bacterial small subunit ribosomal RNA", at positions 509 to 808 of the family's 1533-position model. The record is from RNAcentral.
CAGUAGCCGCGGUAAUACGUAGGUCCCGAGCGUUGUCCGGAUUUAUUGGGCGUAAAGCGAGCGCAGGCGGUUAGAUAAGUCUGAAGUUAAAGGCUGUGGCUUAACCAUAGUACGCUUUGGAAACUGUUUAACUUGAGUGCAGAAGGGGAGAGUGGAAUUCCAUGUGUAGCGGUGAAAUGCGUAGAUAUAUGGAGGAACACCGGUGGCGAAAGCGGCUCUCUGGUCUGUAACUGACGCUGAGGCUCGAAAGCGUGGGGAGCGAACAGGAUUAGAUACCCCUGUAGUCCCUGUCUCUUAUACC